Long non-coding RNA from Episyrphus balteatus (marmalade hoverfly), 401 nucleotides. RefSeq lists it as uncharacterized. The transcript is spliced from 3 exons. Lineage: Eukaryota; Metazoa; Arthropoda; Insecta; Diptera; Syrphidae. The record is from RefSeq and is a predicted model, not a curated record.
UAUAGAAUUUUAUCUAUUCACAUUAAUUUGUUUAAAACUGUUUAGAAAAAAAGUCGAUUUAACGCGAGUUAUUAAUUUUGUCCAGCUAGAUUCGUGAUUGGCCACACUGUGCACUGGUGGGAAAAAUAAGCAACUACAUAUACACAUAAAAAAUCAGAAGUCAUAAGAAUACAUUUGUUUUUCAUUCAGCAUUCAAGUUUUUCCCCAAAAACUUAGUCACAAUCAGAAAAAAGGAGAAAUAAAAGAGAUCCAUUUGAUGGCUCUAUUCUAUCAAGUGCAGAAUAAUCUUCUACUGGUUGUCGUCAAAGCACAGAAGGUACUGCAAAGGUCAACAUUUUCAGCAUCUUCAUCAACGGCUAUGUUUCCAACUAUCAUAUUAAUUUGCUCUUCAUGAUUAGUGC